Molecule: long non-coding RNA, 559 nt
Filed under: Mytilus galloprovincialis (Mediterranean mussel)
Lineage: Eukaryota; Metazoa; Mollusca; Bivalvia; Mytilida; Mytilidae
Source: RNAcentral
GCCUACUUCUGUAAUGAUAUUUGGACGUCUGAGUGACAUACUUGGGUUUUUUUUAAACCGGAUUUUCUUAUAUCUUGCAGCUGCAGGUUUUGGAUAUAAACAAAACAUGACAAAUUUGUUUUUCCCAAUAGCUACAGGUUGUGAAUUAAUUAAGUAGUGUAUAAGAGAAAAACAAUUUUUGGCGAACACAUGGUUCUUUGCUUUUAUUAGCCCUGAUUUUUUUAAUCAGUUAAUAUAUUAUAUAUGUUUUGGAAAGCAAUUCGUAAAACUACAUUGUGUAAUGUUUUUCACUGAUCAGAAAAGUCUAUUAAAUAAAUUGUAUAUCGCUCUCACAAUUUGAUAUUUCAUAAAUAUCACGACAAAGUGCAGUUUUCCAAAUAUAAGUUCCUUGAAGACACCAAUACCAUAUUAAUAUUGAUAUUGAACAACGAAUGAACAUGUGUCAACAAAAUAGAUAGAGAGCAAGUGAAAUAAUCAUGAAAUACCUAAAGUACAUCUCAAAGAUUCGUCGGUCAUCAAUUUGUAUCGAAAAAUACUAUUUCUUCAAAUAUCAUCAAAG